CCUACGGGUGGCACCAGUGGGGAAUCUUCCACAAUGGGCGAAAGCCUGAUGGAGCAACGCCGCGUGAGUGAAGAAGGUCUUAGGAUUGUAAAGCUCUGUCCUUAGGGAAGAACCGUGGGUAUAGUAAAUGCUACCCACCUGACGGUACCUUUGGAGGAAGCACUGGCUAACUACGUGCCAGCAGCCGCGGUAAUACGUAGAGUGCAAGCGUUGUCCGGAAUUAUUGGGCGUAAAGGGUACGCAGGCGGAUAAUCAAGUCAAGCGUGAAAGGUGUCGGCUUAACCGACAGACUGCGUUUGAAACUGAUUAUCUUGAGUGUAACAGAGGAGAGUGGAAUUCCUAGUGUAGUGGUGAAAUACGUAGAUAUUAGGAAGAACACCAGUGGCGAAGGCGACUCUCUGGGUUAACACUGACGCUGAGGUACGAAAGCUGGGGGAGCGAACGGGAUUAGAUACCCUAGUAGUC
This 465-nucleotide ribosomal RNA is filed under the name uncultured bacterium. RNAcentral describes it as "bacterial SSU rRNA". It matches the Rfam family "Bacterial small subunit ribosomal RNA", at positions 338 to 795 of the family's 1533-position model. The record is from RNAcentral.